This 2217-nucleotide long non-coding RNA is filed under the name Homo sapiens (human). RNAcentral describes it as "non-protein coding LINC01018:22". The record is from RNAcentral. Lineage: Eukaryota; Metazoa; Chordata; Mammalia; Primates; Hominidae.
GGAGCGGCCGGGGUGCGCGGUAAAGAUGGGGCGGCGCGGCCGGGGCUCGCCAGCACCAGCCCUGGAACCCCAUGGGGGACCUCGACAACAGCGCCUUUGCGGCGUGGGCCCCUUUCUGCAGCUCCUCCACCCGCGCGCUGUCGGCUCCGGGACACUGGGGCUUUGAAGGGCGCCAGUUCCCAGCCGCACCUGCACGCCUAGGAGGGCGCAGGCCGCGUGUCCCUGUGGGAGGAAGGCCCCGGCAACCUGCAAAGACCUCACGUCACAGAAACUUGCGGCGUUUGCCCCCGAUGCGCGCGUCAGGUGCUCCGUCCCUUCCAGGUGGCAGAGGAGAGGGAAGGGUCGCGCCUGGUGGGGGCCUGAGAGCCACCGGGCUGCGGUGCGCGAGUGUGGACACCGCCCCGCCUUCUGCGUCUACAGCCCUGGGUUCUGGGACCUUUGGAAACCGCUUUGGACGAAGCUGAGCAUCUCUUUCCCCACGCUGACCUCCCCCAUAGACUCCGGAUGGGAGUAAAUGAGGCUCCUGGGAAAUCCAGAAACUCUAGAGAAGCUUGUUUGCCAAACCUUGCUUUGGGCGGUGGAGACAGAAUAUCAUGUCCCAGAUCAGCGUGUGGUGACUGUGGAGGCAUUUACACACAGCACACUCCAGCUCUGCCACUGGGCCGGCUGAGGUGGCUGCGGUACACGGCGCCCAUCCUGAGCCCCAGGUUCCUCACAUGUCAACAGCAUGAAAAGUGCCUCUAAGACAUCCACAGGUGUGCAGUGUUAAAGCAGGCAGCGCCUCAGCUUGGUUAGCUCCCUUAAGGACUGCGGCUCCCUUAGGACAAGGCUCUGUCCCUCAGAGCACUGAGUGCGAUCUCAUGCUGGCAUCUUAGAGACAUUGUAUUCACCAGGUAAGAUGGAUUCACAUCUGCUGGGUGCACGAACACUUCCUCCUUCCUUGCCACCAGCCAGCAUCACAACCAGCCUGGCCAGGCUCCCGUCCCAGCCCAGCCUAGCAGCUAACCCCAGCUCCAUCCCCCAGCAAGCCCCUCUGCCUGCACCUCAGCUUCUUCAUGGAAGACGAGUCAGGUCAUGAUGCCACCAGGGAGCGUGUUUCCAUGUUGAACUGAGACACUAAGCCCUUGACAAAUGUUGGCCAAGAAAAAAAAGGGGCUCCAAGAGGGGAGCUGUGGCUCAGGUAGAAGACGGUGAAUGAGCAUUGCCUGAAUCAGAGUUAGCUACUCUGGUUACACAGGUGUCCCCGGCAGGUUGGUCAAAAGCCCUUCCCUGAGUCCCGUGAUAAGUGUGGGGAGGGAGGCAAAUCAAAGACCCCUACACACCUCCUGCAUGGAUGGCCAGAGCGCUGGUCCCACCUCCUUCCUUCCAAACUGCAACCCCGAUCAGCACAGCAGAGAAGUCUCCUGUGGCAGGGACCAGUAAUUCAGUGCUUCCCCUGGAGAGUCUGGGAUUGCACAGAACACCAGAGGCUGGGGAUUUAUUUGUUCACCAACAUUCAUUCAACAAACACUUACUGAGGCCAACACUGGGAAUGGAGACGAACUUCCCUGUCCUCAUGGAGCUUGCUUUCAAAAGGGAAGGAGGCAGACAGUAAACAAAACAAGCAAGUCAAUAUACAGCAUGAUGCAGAAAAGGUGUGAUGCCACCCUCUUGCCUGAGUUUAUAACAAGCAGAUGAUGUUGUCCUAAGAAUUAAUUUCAGCCGGUGAAAGAGUACAGGCAAAAAACGUGGUCUCGGACUUUCCGGUGAUGCUUAAGAACAUAGUUGCAGUUUUUGUUCUGAUUCUUUGUGCAUCUCGCGCUAAUGAAGGAUUCUGCCAUGAUUGCCACCUCUGGAGACGUCACAGCCAGCACAGCCAUGACCAGGGAUGAACUUGGCCAUUGUCCAGCAGCACCAUGGGAGGACCAGCUGCUGUAAGUGAAGGUCAUCAUCCAUCUGAUUUGCUGGCUUUUUGCAACUACUGCGGUGGAAGUCUUAGAGUAGCCACCUUCUCUGUACUCAGACCUUCACUUCGCCAGAUGUCAGCACAGCAGUGUCAGCAGCUUCGUCAAACACAAACACCACCACCUCUCUGGAUCAGAAGCACAUGGAAAGCCCACCUUGCAAGAAGACCCAGCUAUUCCAAAAGUACCCAUAUCCCUGUAGCAUCCUCUUAGCUGAAUGUCUCUACUCCUUAAACUUGUACCACUUUGAAGAGUAAAAAUUUAAAUUCAUUCA